Molecule: ribosomal RNA, 419 nt
Filed under: bacterium
Lineage: Bacteria
Description: partial 16S ribosomal RNA
Rfam family: Bacterial small subunit ribosomal RNA
Source: RNAcentral
UGGGGGAUAUUGCACAAUGGGCGAAAGCCUGAUGCAGCGACGCCGCGUGGGGGAUGAAGGCCUUCGGGUUGUAAACUUCUUCUGCUCUGAACAAGGCGCACCAUGGGGUGUGUUGAGUGUAGGGGUUGAUUAGCGCCGGCUAACUACGUGCCAGCAGCCGCGGUAAUACGUAGGGCGCGAGCGUUGUCCGGACUUAUUGGGCGUAAAGGGCUUGUAGGUGGCUGGUUGCGUCUGUCGUGAAAGCUCAUGGCUUAACUGUGGGUUUGCGGUGGGUACGGGCUGGCUUGAGUGCAGUAGGGGAGGCUGGAAUUCCUGGUGUAGCGGUGGAAUGCGCAGAUAUCAGGAGGAAUACCGGUGGCGAAGGCGGGUCUCUGGGCUGUUACUGACACUGAGGAGCGAAAGCAUGGGGAGCGAACAGG